This 440-nucleotide ribosomal RNA is filed under the name uncultured bacterium. RNAcentral describes it as "partial 16S ribosomal RNA". It matches the Rfam family "Bacterial small subunit ribosomal RNA", at positions 338 to 795 of the family's 1533-position model. The record is from RNAcentral.
CCUACGGGGUGCUGCAGUAGGGAAUAUUGCUCAAUGGGGGAAACCCUGAAGCAGCAACGCCGCGUGGAGGAUGAAGGUUUUCGGAUUGUAAACUCCUUUUGUUAGAGAAGAUAAUGACGGUAUCUAACGAAUAAGCACCGGCUAACUCCGUGCCAGCAGCCGCGGUAAUACGGAGGGUGCAAGCGUUACUCGGAAUCACUGGGCGUAAAGGGCGCGUAGGCGGGAUAGCAAGUCAGAUGUGAAAUCCUAUGGCUUAACCAUAGAACUGCAUUUGAAACUGGUAUUCUAGAGUAUGGGAGAGGUAGGUGGAAUUCUUGGUGUAGGGGUGAAAUCCGUAGAGAUAAAGAGGAAUACUAGUUGCGAAGGCGACCUGCUAGAACGUAACUGACGCUGAUGCGCGAAAGCGUGGGGAGCAAACAGGAUUAGAUACCCGGGUAGUC